This 301-nucleotide ribosomal RNA is filed under the name uncultured bacterium. Its description in RNAcentral is "partial 16S ribosomal RNA". It matches the Rfam family "Bacterial small subunit ribosomal RNA", at positions 509 to 807 of the family's 1533-position model. The record is from RNAcentral.
CAGCAGCCGCGGGAAUACAGAGGGUGCAAGCGUUAAUCGGAUUUACUGGGCGUAAAGGGCGCGUAGGUGGUUAUUUAAGUGAGAUGUGAAAGCCCCGGGCUUAACCUGGGAACUGCAUCUUAUACUGGGUAACUGGAGUGCAGUAGAGGGUAGUGGAAUUUCCGGUGUAGCGGUGAAAUGCGUAGAUAUCGGAAGGAACACCAGUGGCGAAGGCGGCUACCUGGACUGAGACUGACACUGAGGCGCGAGAGCGUGGGGAGCAAACAGGAUUAGAUACCCCCGUAGUCCCUGUCUCUUAUAC